CGUGAUGCUUGCAAGUUCUACGGGGAGC
This 28-nucleotide non-coding RNA is filed under the name Rattus norvegicus (Norway rat). Lineage: Eukaryota; Metazoa; Chordata; Mammalia; Rodentia; Muridae. The record is from RNAcentral.